UCGGGAAUAUUGCGCAAUGGAGGAAACUCUGACGCAGUGACGCCGCGUAUAGGAAGAAGGUUUUCGGAUUGUAAACUAUUGUCAUUAGGGAAGAUACAAGACAGUACCUAAGGAGGAAGCCCCGGCUAACUAUGUGCCAGCAGCCGCGGUAAUACAUAGGGGGCAAGCGUUAUCCGGAAUGAUUGGGUGUAAAGGGUGCGUAGACGGAGGAGCAAGUUGGCUGUGAAAUCCCUCGGCUUAACUGAGGAACUGCAACCAAAACUACUUCCCUUGAGUGUCGGAGGGGAAAGUGGAAUUCCUAGUGUAGCGGUGAAAUGCGUAGAUAUUAGGAGGAACACCGGUGGCGAAGGCGACUUUCUGGACGAUAACUGACGUUGAGGCACGAAAGUGUGGGGAGCAAACAGG
Molecule: ribosomal RNA, 405 nt
Filed under: uncultured prokaryote
Also listed under: 1 other name
Description: bacterial SSU rRNA
Rfam family: Bacterial small subunit ribosomal RNA
Source: RNAcentral